Molecule: ribosomal RNA, 397 nt
Filed under: uncultured bacterium
Lineage: Bacteria
Description: bacterial SSU rRNA
Rfam family: Bacterial small subunit ribosomal RNA
Source: RNAcentral
UUAGGAAUUUUGCACAAUGGACGAAAGUCUGAUGCAGCGACAUCGCGUGAGGGAUUAAGGCCUUCGGGUUGUAAACCUCUUUUAUUUUUUCAUGAAGAAAGAAUGAAUAAGCAACUACUAACUACGUGCCAGCAGUCGCGGUAAUACGUAGGUUGCAAGCGUUACCCGGUUUUAUUGGGCGUAAAGGGUCUGUAGGUGGUUUAUUAAGUCUUGUUUCAAAGACUCUGGCUCAACCAGAGAAAGGGGCAGGAUACUGAUAGGCUAGAGUUAUAUCGGAGUUACUGGAAUUUGUAAUGUAGGGGUAAAAUCCGUGGAUAUUACAAAGAACACCAAGCGCGAAGGCAGGUAACUAGGUAUACACUGACACUGAAAGACGAAAGCUAGGGUAGCCAAUCAG